GAUGAAGAACGUAGCGAAAUGCGAUAGGUAAUGCGAAUUGCAGAAUUCCAGUGAGUCAUCGAAUCUUUGAACGCACAUUGCGCCCUUUGGUAUUCCGAAGGGCAUGCCUGUUCGAGCGUCAUUAUCACCCCUCAAGCCCUCGGCUUGGUGUUGGACGGUUUGGUGGAGGCCCCCUCGGGGGCUCCUGCCCCUCCCAAAGACAAUGACGGCGGCCUCGUUGGACCCCCGGUACACUGAGUUCUUCACGGGACACGUAUCGGACACAUGGGUUUACGGGACACGGUCUGCCUCCCCUCAGGGAGAAUCUUUCUAAGGUUGACCUAGGAUCAGGUAGGGAUACCCGCUGAACUUAAGCAUAUCAAUAAGCGGAGGA
RNAcentral lists this unclassified non-coding RNA (373 nucleotides) under soil metagenome. Its description in RNAcentral is "partial contains 5.8S ribosomal RNA, internal transcribed spacer 2, and large subunit ribosomal RNA". The stretch from base 1 to 121 matches the Rfam family "5.8S ribosomal RNA", at positions 35 to 154 of the family's 154-position model. The record is from RNAcentral.